CCUACGGGAGGCAGCAGUGAGGAAUAUUGGUCAAUGGACGAGAGUCUGAACCAGCCAAGUAGCGUGAAGGAUGACUGCCCUAUGGGUUGUAAACUUCUUUUAUAUGGGAAUAAAAUGUUCCACGUGUGGGAUUUUGUAUGUACCAUAUGAAUAAGGAUCGGCUAACUCCGUGCCAGCAGCCGCGGUAAUACGGAGGAUCCGAGCGUUAUCCGGAUUUAUUGGGUUUAAAGGGAGCGUAGGUGGAUUGUUAAGUCAGUUGUGAAAUUUUGCGACUCAACCGUAAAAUUGCAGUUGAAACUGGCAGUCUUGAGUACAGUAGAGGUGGGCGGAAUUCGUGGUGUAGCGGUGAAAUGCUUAGAUAUCACGAAGAACUCCGAUUGCGAAGGCAGCUCACUGGACUGCAACUGACACUGAGGCUCGAAAGUGUGGGUAUCAAACAGGAUUAGAUACCCGUGUAGUC
This 460-nucleotide ribosomal RNA is filed under the name uncultured bacterium. Its description in RNAcentral is "partial 16S ribosomal RNA". It matches the Rfam family "Bacterial small subunit ribosomal RNA", at positions 338 to 795 of the family's 1533-position model. The record is from RNAcentral.